Molecule: long non-coding RNA, 2485 nt
Organism: Triticum aestivum (bread wheat)
Lineage: Eukaryota; Viridiplantae; Streptophyta; Magnoliopsida; Poales; Poaceae
Exons: 3
Source: RefSeq, a predicted model, not a curated record
CCGGGCCGGUGACGGAGCGCGCAGAUGCCGCCGUGAUGGGAGAUUAGCAGAGCCGUGGCUCGGGACCGUGUUCUUCUCCUGAUCCGUAGCUCAACAAGUUGGAUUUCCGGCAGGCUGUAGUAAAUGACGAGUGAGACCAAGGAGGAGCUGUCUCCCACCUCUCGCCACGCUUGUUUUGGAUCUCCGUUGACGCCUGCGGGACCCCGAGCACCGGAGUUCGGCGGUUGGAGGAAUACACGGCGGCGCUUGUCCGUAUGUAGUUCCUGAUGCAACGCAGUAGGAGAGCUGCCGUGAUGUAAGAGGUCAAGACAACGAGCUUCCAAUGGAGCCGCUGCACUACCCCGCGGUGGCGAUAGGAAGUGCAGAGCUACACCCCCAUGGCAACAGCCAGCGUCGACGGGCAGGUGUGUGCGGCGGAGGGGGGACUCAGAACCGAGGGGGAUGCUGAACCCCAAGCAUCUGAGCAAUUGAUUGGCUAGAUUGAUCCAAAAACUACAGGAUGGACUCGCAGGGUUAGAAUUGGAACAGCUGCUCCAGGAAGGGCGCCUUGCCCUGGGCGACACAGCGCCCUAGAGAAAGCAAUACGGGGGUUUGCUGACAAACCGGGCGACAUUGUAGUCGUGCCUGCACUGGGUACAAGCUUCGGUACCCUCGGGGGAGGCCUAUGAUUUUUACAAUCUCUACUUGUGGGAGAAGGGAUUUGGAAUAAGAUACUGGAAGAGUAGGCUGAAUGUGGAGAGGACAAAAUAAGCAGGAAAUUGUUUGCGGUUGUGUAGUAGGCAUUUGUACACAUGUAUCUAAUUCCAUCUUCUCUCUAGCACACAUGUGUUGCUCAUACUCAUCCAUAUGCUUUAUAGGAAUUUCCUUGUUCACGAAAUGCCUAGAUUCAUAAGGAUCAGAGGUGUUGCUUUGAAGGAACAGCUUGCCGGGAACAUGCUUAUGGAUCAUGAAUUGAUGUCACAAAUCUCGUGCCACUACUCACAGCUUGACAUGGAACCAAUCAAACCAGGAAUCGCCCUAUCUCACAUGGAGGCACCGAAUUAAACCUAAAUUUCGAUGAGGAAUAUCUUGCAUGAUGCUUAAACUGCUACUGCCAUUCCAUACACAAGAGCCUCCUGAUAAUGUUUCAUCAUUUUGUGUGCAGACUCUUGUCUUAUCCCAUGGUGUUCUCCCUGGUCGGCAGCACCGAUUCUAACUCUGAAGUCAGCGUGCACACGUGGAUGUCGGUAUAGUGACAAUUUAUCCACAAACAAAAUAUAGGUUUUCCCCCUUCAUCCAAUGACUGCCUACUUAAUUUUAUCCAUUGUAGUCAUGUGUUUGAUGACUUUGUAAGUUCAGUACUGCCUACAAUUCCCGCAGAAAUUUUCAACUCUAAUCCACAUAUAAAAGAACACAAGCCUGCAGCACUCUUAUAAAAAAAUGCAUUGCUUCUUCACUCUGACGAACAACUCUUAGCUGUCACAUUCGUUAGUAAAGAGCUCAUUUUCUUCGGCACCCAAUGUUUACCAGCGCCUACCAAAACUGUAAAUUACUGAACCAACACUUUAUGUGUCCCCGAACACUUUCAGUGUCCAACUAAAUCUCUAAUUGUUCACACUAUUCUGAUAUCCCACAUAAAAAUGAGCAUAUUCAGUUGGUAGAACUUUUCUUGUUUCAUGCAUACUUGAAUGUACUGGCAUGAUGUUAGGUGUGGCGAUAGCAAUAUGGCUUGUUUCAAAAUAAAAAAGAAACCCCUCUGCAUGCAUAUUUGAACUGAUUUCAAGUUAGUAUGCAUUAUGUAUGUCUGCCCGCGGAAUGGUGUCUUGUUUUCUGAAGUUUUUGACAAUAUGGUCAUGCAUUCUGAAUUUUUCGACAGUACGCACGUCCAGUCUGAAUUUUCCGGCUGUAUGGUAGUGAAUUCUGAAUUUUUGACAUAAUCAACAUGCCUAUAGACUGGUGUACAUAUUUUUGACAGAACCACCAGCUCUAAGAAUGGAACGUACGAGGGACUCAACAAACGGACAAGGUUCUGGAGCAUAUGUCGGCAGCAGGGGCACAAGAGGACUACGUGCCUGGACCGGGUGAUGCCCCGAAGACUGUUCGCAAACCAGCGAGGUGCAAACAUUGUGGAAUCGAAAGACACAGGCGAAACAACUGCCACAAAGUGGGUGAUCUGCGGAUGAUUGGACUGUGAGCAGUUGCAAAAAUCUGUUUGUUUAGACUAUAAAUCUGUAAAACUUCAUGUGUGCGUUGGUAGUUUGAUUAGUAGAACUUCUCUAUUUUCAUGCUUGCUGGGUGUAUUCAGCUGCUGUUAUGCAUAGCAAAACCAACUAUGUAUAAUCUGAAGAUGAUGUAUGCUUGAACUGGUCUGAAACUGUGCGUAUGAGGGUGCGUCCGUAGUUCCGUCAGUAGAACUUCUCUACUGUCAUGAUUUCCUGAGUGUAGUCAGCUGAUGUUAUGCAUGGCAAAACCAAAUUAUGUAUUGUCUGAAAAUAAUGUAUGGUUG